Molecule: ribosomal RNA, 843 nt
Filed under: uncultured bacterium
Lineage: Bacteria
Description: bacterial SSU rRNA
Rfam family: Bacterial small subunit ribosomal RNA
Source: RNAcentral
GAGUUUGAUCCUGGCUCAGAGCGAACGUUGGCAGUGUGUCUUAAGCAUGCAAGUCGAACGGCAGCAGGCCAUGUAGCAAUAUAUGGUGCUGGCGAGUGGCGAACUGGUGAGUAACACGUAAGAAUCUGCCCUAAGGUGGGGGAUAACUCAUGGAAACAUGAGCUAAUACCGCAUAAUGCGAAGCUUAUAGAGAUAUAAGUUUUGUUAAAGGAGAAAUCCGCCAUAGGAUGAGCUUGCGUCCCAUUAGCUAGUUGGCGGGGUAAAUGCCCACCGAGGCUAUGAUGGGUAGCUGGCCUGAGAGGGUGGUCAGCCACACUGGGACUGAGAUACGGCCCAGACUCCUACGGGAGGCAGCAGCUAAGAAUCUUCCUCAAUGGGGGAAACCCUGAAGGAGCGACACUGCGUGCAGGAUGAAGGCCCUUUGGGUUGUAAACUGCUUUUGCAGGGGAGAAAUAACCGAAUGGGAUGAUAGUACUCUGCGAAUAAGUCCCGGCUAACUACGUGCCAGCAGCCGCGGUAACACGUAGGAGCCAAGCGUUAUCCGAAUUCACUGGGCGUAAAGCGCGUGUAGGCGGCUUAUUAAGUUGGAUGUGAAAGCUCCCGGCUCAACUGGGAGAGGACGUUCAAGACUGGUAGGCUAGAGGGCGACAGAGGGAGGUGGAAUUCCCGGUGUAGUGGUGAAAUGCGCAGAUAUCGGGAGGAACACCAGUGGCGAAAGCGGCCUCCUGGGUCGCACCUGACGCUCAGACGCGAAAGCUAGGGGAGCGAACGGGAUUAGAAACCCCGGUAGUCCUAGCCGUAAACGAUGUAGACUUGGUGUUGGUGGGGUAAAAGCCAUCGGUG